Molecule: ribosomal RNA, 253 nt
Filed under: uncultured prokaryote
Description: partial 16S ribosomal RNA
Rfam family: Bacterial small subunit ribosomal RNA
Source: RNAcentral
UACAGAGACUGCAAGCGUUAUUCGGAUUCACUGGGCGUAAAGGGUGCGCAGGCGGCCAAGUGUGUGAGGUGUGAAAGCCCGGGGCUUAACCCCGGAAUUGCACCUCAAACUACAUGGCUAGAGCAUUGGAGAGGGUAGCAGAAUUCAUGGUGUAGCAGUGAAAUGCGUAGAGAUCAUGAGGAAGACCAGUGGCGAAGGCGGGUCUCUGGACAGUUCCUGACACUGAGACACGAAGGCCAGGGGAGCAAACGGG